Molecule: ribosomal RNA, 247 nt
Filed under: uncultured bacterium
Lineage: Bacteria
Description: partial 16S ribosomal RNA
Rfam family: Bacterial small subunit ribosomal RNA
Source: RNAcentral
AUACGUAGGUGGCGAGCGUUGUCCGGAUUUACUGGGCGUAAAGGGAGCGUAGGCGGAUUUUUAAGUGAGAUGUGAAAUACUCGGGCUUAACCUGAGUGCUGCAUUUCAAACUGGAAGUCUAGAGUGCAGGAGAGGAGAAGGGAAUUCCUAGUGUAGCGGUGAAAUGCGUAGAGAUUAGGAAGAACACCAGUGGCGAAGGCGACUUACUGGACUGUAACUGACGCUGAGUCACGAAAGCGUGGGUAGC